UACGUAGGGGGCAAGCGUUGUCCGGAAUUAUUGGGCGUAAAGAGCUCGUAGGCGGUGUGUCGCGUCGGCCGUGAAAACUUGCAGCUUAACUGUGGGCGUGCGGUCGAUACGGGCAUCACUGGAGUUCGGCAGGGGAGACUGGAAUUCCUGGUGUAGCGGUGAAAUGCGCAGAUAUCAGGAGGAACACCGGUGGCGAAGGCGGGUCUCUGGGCCGAUACUGACGCUGAGGAGCGAAAGCGUGGGGAGCGAACAGG
RNAcentral lists this ribosomal RNA (254 nucleotides) under uncultured bacterium. Its description in RNAcentral is "partial 16S ribosomal RNA". It matches the Rfam family "Bacterial small subunit ribosomal RNA", at positions 524 to 776 of the family's 1533-position model. The record is from RNAcentral.